UGGAAGAAACUAUCAGACACCUGAAGAAAUGUAAAGAGGCAACAGAGAAUAAGCUGAAAGAAGCCAGUGUGGAAUCAGAACAGAUAACAGCUAAUCUGGAAGAAGCUCAUCGCUGGUUUAAGCACAGGUUUGAUGGUCUACAACUUGAGCUGACAAAAAACCGGUUGCAGAGGCCUUCUGGGGAAGACAGGUGGCAGGAAAAGAACAGGUUAACUGCUAGUUGACCUCAUUGUUCUGAAGUUCUGGCCCCAUAUGAAGGCUCUAUUUCAAGUUUGAAAUUCCCAGGGAAGGAGGGAGGAAACUCCUGAUUGGCCCAGGUUGGUUCAGGAGCAGACUCCCUCCUCUAUCAACUGUGAUCAUGCAGGAGCAGCAGAAUCUCAGUGCAUAAAACAGGGAGACUUAUUUUCUCCACGGCUAUUUAGUAGACACUGGAGCCACAGUCCAGUGAGCUAAUUUAAGAGAGAAACUUGGAGCACAGAAUGCUCAGUUCCACAGAAUUCCAACACACAAGUCUAACUUAUUACUGUAUCUCAGUUACCUCUACCAUUACCUAUAAAUGGCAUGAAGUAAAAAAUAAGCAUGUGAAACAACCUCAAUUAUAAAAUGUACUUAAAUUAUA
This 619-nucleotide small RNA is filed under the name Pongo abelii (Sumatran orangutan). Its description in RNAcentral is "processed transcript". The record is from RNAcentral. Lineage: Eukaryota; Metazoa; Chordata; Mammalia; Primates; Hominidae.